GCAACGAACCAAAGGAGGAGAAGGAAGGGAGGAAGAAGAAGGAGAAAGAAAGAAAAAAAAAAAAAAAAAGAAAGAAAAAGAUUUAGCCGUCCGAUUCCAAUUCCGACUUGGGUGUACGUUGGAGGAGAUUUGGGUGAAGUUAUAAAAUCCAGAAAGUAUCGGUAGGAGGUAAGCAGUAGGGAAUUAAAUCUAAUUUUAAGAAAUUAGGUAUUUAUGUUGCAUGUGAUUCUGAUUCUGAUAUUGAUAUGAUAUUAUGUGGAAUCAUUUGGUCAGUGCAUCUAUAUAUGUAUAUAUGUGUGUGUAUAUGCAUGUGUGAAACUUCGUUUUACGAUAUUUGAUAUACGUAUUUGAUCGUGUUGGUGAAUUUAUAAAAAGGAGGAUAGGUGGGCCGUCUCACCAGCCCUUUUCAUUAAAUUCACUUAUUGACAUGCUGCACACAUUGCACGAUUUAUCGGAUAUGUUUUAUGGAUCUAUCGUUUAGUCGCCGUGUGCGGUAGUGCUAGGCGAGGGCAUCAUCUGGGGUUAGGAUAUUCGACCCCGAUGUACCGUAACACUUUGGCGAUAGUGGACGAUAGUAGUCGGGCAACUGGGUGACUUAGUCGCACGGUCAUUCAGGGAUUAGACCCAUUGCAGUUGAGACGUAUUUGGUCUAAUCAUUCGGGUUCGGUGUUGUUCCACUCAUUGGAGUAGCUACUAGUGAGGUCUACCGGUAGUUUAGGAUCAGAUGCCAAACUCCAAACGCGAUCCCGUUAGGGCGUGCGAGGAGGAGUAGAGUUUCCGGGUUUCCUUCGGGUGAUUCCAGGUUGCACGGAUUCUACUACGUUACACGGGGUAGGGCUAGACAGGAGGGUCCUAUCUUCGCUAUCACAGACUAUGGGG
Andrographis paniculata is the source of this 879-nucleotide long non-coding RNA. RefSeq lists it as uncharacterized. NCBI's taxonomy places the organism in Eukaryota, Viridiplantae, Streptophyta, Magnoliopsida, Lamiales, Acanthaceae. The transcript has 2 exons. The record is from RefSeq and is a predicted model, not a curated record.